CUCUUUUGGGGUUCUUCCUUUCUCUCUCAGCUCUCCGUCUCUCUUUCUCUCUCAGCCUCUGUCUUUCUCCCUGUCUCCCCCACUGUCAGCACCUCUUCUGUGUGGUGAGUGGACCGCUUACCCCACUAGGUGAAGAUGUCAGCCCAGGAGAGCUGCCUCAGCCUCAUCAAGUACUUCCUCUUCGUUUUCAACCUCUUCUUCUUUGUGAGUUGCCUUAUGGCUACCCAGCCGGGGCCCAGCCCCUGCCGCUAACCCAGCCCUCAUCUUCCCCCGUGGCCCACCCCCGUAUCCGCAUCUCCUCUCCCCAGGUCCUCGGCAGCCUGAUCUUCUGCUUCGGCAUCUGGAUCCUCAUCGACAAGACCAGCUUCGUGUCCUUUGUGGGCUUGGCCUUCGUGCCUCUGCAGAUCUGGUCCAAAGUCCUGGCCAUCUCGGGAAUCUUCACCAUGGGCAUCGCCCUCCUGGGUUGUGUGGGGGCCCUCAAGGAGCUCCGCUGCCUCCUGGGCCUGUAUUUUGGGAUGCUGCUGCUCCUGUUUGCCACACAGAUCACCCUGGGAAUCCUCAUCUCCACUCAGCGGGCCCAGCUGGAGCGAAGCUUGCAGGACGUCGUAGAGGAAACCA
Molecule: small RNA, 618 nt
Filed under: Pan troglodytes (chimpanzee)
Lineage: Eukaryota; Metazoa; Chordata; Mammalia; Primates; Hominidae
Description: retained intron
Source: RNAcentral